RNAcentral lists this long non-coding RNA (1496 nucleotides) under Junco hyemalis (dark-eyed junco). Its description in RNAcentral is "lncRNA (ENSJHYG00000012043.1)". The record is from RNAcentral. Lineage: Eukaryota; Metazoa; Chordata; Aves; Passeriformes; Passerellidae.
CAAAGAAAUUAUAAAAAAAUUAGGUAAGAUCCUCUGAUAUUAAAGUUGUUCUUAUCUAAAGAUGUCUGCCUUUAUGUCAACACAAGUAUUUCAAGUUGGGAAUAUGUCAAUUUCCAUGUGGCAGGCUCCAUUAUGAAAAAGAAAAUACAUGGAGAUAUCAGAUAAAGAAACUCCCCUGUUGUCAUGGUGACAGCAAUUAUCAGCAGUUAGAACAGCAGACAAUGGAUUUAAUGGCUUGGUCUAAUAGUGACUUAAUUACUUAGCAGCCUAGUUUGUCUAUCAGCAUUUCAAUACACAGGAAUAAUUCAGUGCUGUGCUCCCACUACAUGAUGCCUUCACUUAGCAUUUUGAGUCUAUUACAAGCAGAAUUGCAGUAGCAUCAUUACCAUAAAUAUUUUUGAUUUCCUACGUGCUGGGCCGGCCAAGGUAAAUGGCCUUGUGUAGCAAUCUCACUUGAGCACCUCCCGUCACACAGCAGAGAGCCUGCCAGGCAGGAGAGAGCAGUGUGUGCUCAUCGUACUGUGAGGGUAAAAAAACAACCUGGAUUCCACUGCAGUUGUGUCUCCUUUAAAAUGGGGGGAAAGUUUCAAGCUAGGCCAGUCAAGGAUAUACAUCAUGGCACAUGUCAGGAAUACAUUUUCUUUUUUUCAGACACCGAAUGUCCUUCUUUUCUCCUCCUCAUUAUUCCUUCAGGCUGGAGGAAUGGCAAAUAACUUCCCAUCACCUCUCAAGCUGAUAAACUGGGUUGAAACUGCUGCUUCCUAUCAGUGGAAUUGGCUCAAAUUGGAGGCCAUGAAGCAGCACUCAGCCACAGCUCACAUCUGCCUGGUGGGAGUGAGAGCUUCAACACUGCCUCGUCCAUUGCUGUACAGCCAAGUCCUAAGGAAGCAGAAGGCCCAGGAAGCAGAAGAGCUUAAUUCACGUCCUUCCACAGCUGGAGGGGUUUCAGACCCACAUUUCCACUCCUCACGGAUGGGCACCAGUCCUUCAACACUCAUCUGCACUGGUGAGGAAACCACCACCAUCAACAAUUGAAACCUGCAGCCAAAUAGCCCCAAGGAGGUGGAGAAGGAGCCUGAUCCUGUAGGCCAGCACGUAGAAGCACACCUGAGAGGAAAGGAGAGGCAGCAGCUGCCUGCAUUAUUUUCUCUCUAUGCAAUGAGAACUAAUAUAAAGGACAUAACCAAGAUGAAAUGGAGCUUGAGGGCCGACAGAACCAUCUCUGGGAGCCCAGGUACUGCAGCUGGUGAGACUGGGCCAGCAGCUCCAGGAAGGGCCACACUGCUCUGUGAGAGGCAGAGGGAAGAAGUAACCCAGGGUAGGCACCUCGAGGAUGACAGAAAACAGGGGACAGGGAUGACUUGAUGAAGACUGCUUUACUUGAGCUUAUUUUAUUACCUUCUUUUGAUGGUUUAGUUGUAGGUGUCCCCAUUUUUAUGCUACUGUGACAAACAUUUCAGAAUCAUCUUUAAUAAACACAGAAGUAAUCCAGCUCA